AACGCGAAGAACCUUACCAGGUCUUGACAUCCCGCUGACCGCUCUGGAGACAGAGCUUCCCUUCGGGGCAGCGGUGACAGGUGGUGCAUGGUUGUCGUCAGCUCGUGUCGUGAGAUGUUGGGUUAAGUCCCGCAACGAGCGCAACCCUUAUCUUUAGUUGCCAGCAUUCAGUUGGGCACUCUAGAGAGACUGCCGUCGACAAGACGGAGGAAGGCGGGGAUGACGUCAAAUCAUCAUGCCCCUUAUGACCUGGGCUACACACGUGCUACAAUGGUUGGUACAACGGGACGCUACCUCGCGAGAGGAUGCCAAUCUCUGAAAACCAAUCUCAGUUCGGAUUGUAGGCUGCAACUCGCCUACAUGAAGUCGGAAUCGCUAGUAAUCGCGGAUCAGCAUGCCGCGGUGAAUACGUUCCCGGGCCUUGUACACACCG
Molecule: ribosomal RNA, 433 nt
Filed under: uncultured bacterium
Lineage: Bacteria
Description: bacterial SSU rRNA
Rfam family: Bacterial small subunit ribosomal RNA
Source: RNAcentral